This 2172-nucleotide long non-coding RNA is filed under the name Pongo abelii (Sumatran orangutan). Its description in RNAcentral is "lincRNA". Lineage: Eukaryota; Metazoa; Chordata; Mammalia; Primates; Hominidae. The record is from RNAcentral.
CUUCUCCCCCACCAGCUCGCCAGCUCGGGAGCUUCUUGAGAGCAGGGUCCACGGCAGGCUUUGCUCACCAUUGCGUGGCUCCAGGCUCAUGUUUCCCUCAGACUUUUAUUCAUUCAAGCAGCAUGUAUUGGAUACCUACUAUACAACAAGCAUUGUUCUAGGAACCAGGGAUACAGUGGCAAAAAUGACAAGCCAUAGACCCUGCCCUCAUGAAACUUAAUGUAGAUGAGACAUAUAGCAGAUCAAAUCCUAGACUCACUGUCUGAUCUGGAAGGCACUUUAAUCAUGCCUAAGAGCCUGGAGAUUUAUAAAGGAAGCUGUAACUGGGAACAAUCUGGCCUGCUGGGAAGCUGCUUCUCCCAGGGUCUUGCUCUAUUACCCCGAGUGGAGUGGAGUGGUGCUAUCUUGGCUCAUUGCAUCGUUGACCUCCUGAGCUCAAGUGAUCCUCCCACCUGAGCCUCCCAAUUAUCGGGACUACAGGCACAUACCAACACAGCCAGAUGGAGUCUCACUCUGUUGCCCAGGCUGGAGUGCAGUGGCACAAUCUCGGCUCACUACAACCUCCGCCUCCUGGGUUCAAGCAAUUCUCCUGUCUCAGCCUCCCAAGUAGCUGGGACUACAGAGGCAUGCCACCACACCAGGCUAAUUUUUGUAUUUUUAGUAGAGACGGCGUUUCACCAUGUUGGUCAGGCUGGUCUCAAACUCCUGACCUCAAGUGAUCCACCUGCCUCAGCCUCUCAAAGUGCUGGGAUUACAGGCAUGAGCCACAGUGCCCGGCCCAAAAGUUGCUUUCUCCAACUUUUGGGCUGAACUCUGUCUCUUUGUGGCUUCCAUCCAUUGGUCACAGUGCCGCCUCUGGGGGGCACCUAAGCUCUGUCUUCUCCCGCUGCCCUCCAACAGCCUCUUAGAGGUCUGAAGCAUCACCAUAGCCAUAACCCCUGAGUCUUCUCCAAGCAAAACAACUCCACUUCCUUCAACUGUUGCUCAUGAGCCAGGGCCCCUGCUUUCUCCACGGCAUGCUUUUGCCUCCCUGGUCAUGCUCCAGUGUGACUCUGGUACCCUUAAUAUGUGGCACACAGAGCUGACACUAUAUUCCAGGGCAGUCUGUCACCUCCUUGUUCUUGAAACUUCACUUCUAUACUGCCUACAGAUGCAGCUGAAGGUUCCACGGAUGUAUUUGGUCAGACCAUGCAUAUGACAGUCACCUCCUCAGCUCUGCUCCUUGCCCUCUCACCUGGUUCCCCCUUGCCAGCCUACAUUUGAGGACUGGAUUCAAGAGCAAGACCUAACAUUUCUCCCUGUCAUAUUUACUUUGUAAUCUUCAGCCCCUCCUUCUAGUCUGUCAGGAAUGGGAAUGUUUUUGAAAACAGACUCUGAAAGCCAAUGAGAUGUGCUCCUCCUGCCCACAGUUGGACCCAGGCUCCAUAUUUGAUCAGUGAACAGCCACGUCCGCACAUGUGCCACGAGGCAUUUGUCUGCAAAUUCAUCCAGAGACUUUGACAGAUGCCUGGAGGUCACAGAUCAGCCUCCUCUAUGCUGCCAUGUGGCCCCAGGAGCCUGAAGGAAACACCAAGUACAUCUAGAAGUUGAUGGUUGACCGAUGGGAGAGGGGGCAAGAUGCCAGUCACUCAGUCAGCCAAUCUUUCCUGAAGAUUGUUGGAGGCUCCAAGUGACAGAGGGAACAAUGUGGAGAACAUUCAGAGACAUCAUCUAUUGCCUGUGCCCUCUGGAAGUUUCUAGUCUCACAAAAAGGAAGACCAGGGAGGCCCUUAAGACAAUAUAGUAGGCUGAAUAAUAUCCCCCAAAGAUAUCAGGUCCUAGUCCCUGGAACCUGUAAAAGUUACCUGAUUUGGAAAAAUGAUCUUGGCAGUUGUGAUCAAGUUAAGGGUUUCUAAAUGCAAUCACAUAAGCGGGAGGCAGAGGAGACUUGACAUAGACAGAAAAAGAAAAGAAAAGACCACGUGACCAUAGAGGCAGAGAUUGGAGUGAAGUGGCUACAAGCCAAGGAAUGCCGGCAGCCACAGAAGCUGGAAAAGACAAGGACCAGAUUUUCCCCUAGAGCCUCUGGAAGGAGCAUGGCCCCAUCAACACCUUGAUUUUGGCCCAGUGAUACCGGCUUUAGACGUCUAGCCUCCAGAUCCGUGAGAGAAUACAUUUUUGUUUUCUUCAGCC